Molecule: transfer RNA, 72 nt
Organism: Folsomia candida
Lineage: Eukaryota; Metazoa; Arthropoda; Collembola; Entomobryomorpha; Isotomidae
Rfam family: tRNA
About the family: Transfer RNA (tRNA) molecules are approximately 80 nucleotides in length. Their secondary structure includes four short double-helical elements and three loops (D, anti-codon, and T loops). Further hydrogen bonds mediate the characteristic L-shaped molecular structure. tRNAs have two regions of fundamental functional importance: the anti-codon, which is responsible for specific mRNA codon recognition, and the 3' end, to which the tRNAs corresponding amino acid is attached (by aminoacyl-tRNA synthetases). tRNAs cope with the degeneracy of the genetic code in two manners: having more than one tRNA (with a specific anti-codon) for a particular amino acid; and 'wobble' base-pairing, i.e. permitting non-standard base-pairing at the 3rd anti-codon position.
Source: Rfam
GGGUUUGUAGCUCAGUGGUAGAGCGCUCGCUUCGCAUGUGAGAGGCCACGAGUUCGAUCCUCGUCAGAUCCA